AUUGAACGCUGGCGGCAUGCUUUACACAUGCAAGUCGGACGGCAGCACAGAGAAGCUUGCUUCUUGGGUGGCGAGUGGCGAACGGGUGAGUAAUAUAUCGGAACGUACCGAGUAAUGGGGGAUAACUAAUCGAAAGAUUAGCUAAUACCGCAUAUUCUCUGAGGAGGAAAGCAGGGGACCUUCGGGCCUUGCGUUAUUCGAGCGGCCGAUAUCUGAUUAGCUAGUUGGUGGGGUAAAGGCCUACCAAGGCGACGAUCAGUAGCGGGUCUGAGAGGAUGAUCCGCCACACUGGGACUGAGACACGGCCCAGACUCCUACGGGAGGCAGCAGAGGGGAAUUUUGGACAAUGGGCGCAAGCCUGAUCCAGCCAUGCCGCGUGUCUGAAGAAGGCCUUCGGGUUGUAAAGGACUUUUGUCAGGGAAGAAAAGGCUGUUGCUAAUAUCGACAGCUGAUGACGGUACCUGAAGAAUAAGCACCGGCUAACUACGUG
Molecule: ribosomal RNA, 490 nt
Filed under: uncultured bacterium
Lineage: Bacteria
Description: partial 16S ribosomal RNA
Rfam family: Bacterial small subunit ribosomal RNA
Source: RNAcentral